GCCAGACUCCUACGGGAGGCAGCAGUGGGGAAUAUUGGACAAUGGGGGGAACCCUGAUCCAGCGACGCCGCGUGAGUGAAGAAGUAUUUCGGUAUGUAAAGCUCUAUCAGCAGGGAAGAAAGAAAUGACGGUACCUGACUAAGAAGCCCCGGCUAACUACGUGCCAGCAGCCGCGGUAAUACGUAGGGGGCAAGCGUUAUCCGGAUUUACUGGGUGUAAAGGGAGCGUAGACGGCGAUGCAAGUCUGAAGUGAAAGGCGGGGGCCCAACCCCUGGACUGCUUUUGAAACUGUGUAGCUAGAGUGCAGGAGAGGUAAGUGGAAUUCCUAGUGUAGCGGUGAAAUGCGUAGAUAUUAGGAGGAACACCGGUGGCGAAGGCGGCUUACUGGACUGUAACUGACGUUGAGGCUCGAAAGCGUGGGGAGCAAACAGGAUUAGAUACCCGUGUAAC
This 450-nucleotide ribosomal RNA is filed under the name uncultured bacterium. RNAcentral's name for it is "bacterial SSU rRNA". It matches the Rfam family "Bacterial small subunit ribosomal RNA", at positions 330 to 794 of the family's 1533-position model. The record is from RNAcentral.